Molecule: ribosomal RNA, 415 nt
Filed under: uncultured prokaryote
Description: bacterial SSU rRNA
Rfam family: Bacterial small subunit ribosomal RNA
Source: RNAcentral
GUGCCAGCAGCCGCGGUAAUACGUAGGUGGCAAGCGUUAUCCGGAUUUACUGGGCGUAAAGAGUGCGUAGGCGGUUCUUCAAGUCGGAUGUGAAAUCUCCCGGCUUAACCGGGAGGGGUCAUUCGAAACUGUUGGACUAGAGGACAGCAGGGGGAGGUGGAAUUCCCGGUGUAGUGGUGAAAUGCGUAGAUAUCGGGAGGAACACCAGUGGCGAAGGCGGCCUCCUGGGCUGUUUCUGACGCUGAGGCUCGAAAGUGUGGGGAGCGAACAGGAUUAGAUACCCUGGUAGUCCACACUGUAAACAAUGGACACUAGGUAUGGGGAGUAUCGACCCUUUCUGUGCCGAAGCUAACGCUUUAAGUGUCCCGCCUGGGGACUACGGCCGCAAGGCUAAAACUUAAAUGAAUUGACGGGG